Molecule: long non-coding RNA, 1045 nt
Filed under: Monodelphis domestica (gray short-tailed opossum)
Lineage: Eukaryota; Metazoa; Chordata; Mammalia; Didelphimorphia; Didelphidae
Description: lncRNA (ENSMODG00000050448.1)
Source: RNAcentral
AUUGGUAAUCUGUAUGAUUGUUUCUUGUUUCAAUAACUGAAAUGUACUCUGGCUUGAGACUGACUAGAGAUUGCUGCUAGUAUGGGGACACACCUAAGGGUAACUAAUUGCAAUAGAGAUAGAUGUACUUUGAGAGAUACUGAGAGAGAGAUGUUGAGAGAUGCUGCUACAGAUAGAGGGAUGCUACCACAGGGGAAUGCUCUGGGGUUUGCCUAUAAUCUCUAUUUGAUGCCUAAAGGAUCAAUAUAUUUCCUAACCUCCUCCUCCUUCACUCCCUCCCUUAACCACCCACUUCUUGAAGCCUUUUUGGCUUCCUCCCUCCCUCCCCCCUCCCCAGUGGUCUAUAAAAUACUCCUGUUUUCUUUCUCAGGUAAAGGGUUUAUUGGGAAACAAUAGGAUGGGAAACUGAGGUAAGAGGGAUGAGGUUUUUCCUAAUCUAUAAUGAGGGAUAGGAGGAAUUUGGGAAAUCAGUCCAUUCUCAGAUGUGACUCUAAGAGAGCCAGAAAGAAGGACAACUGUUUAAAAUCUUCUUUUCUUCUUCACAAAGUCACCAAGGUCUCUCAGCCUAAUUUCAGAAGCCCCCCUCAAAGGUCCUUCAGCCUGGGGCAAAAGCUAACAAUAUUAGUUCUCUGCUUCUUCCCUCUUCAGUCAGGCUUGCCUCCUUUGAUCAGAAAAUCCCCAAGAGCCAGUCAAACCCCAGAGAGAGACAGAAUCAGAUCCUCCCCCUGGCCAGCUCAACUGCCUCAAGACAAGAGAAAAGGUAGUUGGAAGGGACCAAUCAUAGCUUACAAAUUGCCUAGCACUGCCCAGGAUAGAAGUGUCCGUGGGAUCCACACCUCAUCCUCUGAAGGUGUCAACUCUUAUCAAAGGAUUCACAAGUUUCUGCUUUAUUGGGUUAAAAGAGUGGAGCUCUCCCAGUAAGUUACUUAUGAAUUCUCUUACUUGAUAACAAAGUGUUAAAUAGGGUUUAAGUAGAGGUUUCUUAGAUUUAUUAAAAAUAGACAAAGAGAAUAAAGAAUUCAUUUUCACAAUCUGAAGUUGACCA